AUUGAACGCUGGCGGCAUGCCUUACACAUGCAAGUCGAACGGCAGCACGGGUGCUUGCACCUGGUGGCGAGUGGCGAACGGGUGAGUAAUACAUCGGAACGUACCUUAUCGUGGGGGAUAACGCAGCGAAAGCUGUGCUAAUACCGCAUACGCCCUGAGGGGGAAAGCGGGGGAUCGCAAGACCUCGCGCGAUUAGAGCGGCCGAUGCCUGAUUAGCUUGUUGGUGGGGUAAAGGCCCACCAAGGCGACGAUCAGUAGCUGGUCUGAGAGGGCGAUCAGCCACACUGGGACUGAGACACGGCCCAGACUCCUACGGGAGGCAGCAGUGGGGAAUUUUGGACAAUGGGGGCAACCCUGAUCCAGCAAUGCCGCGUGAGUGAAGAAGGCCUUCGGGUUGUAAAGCUCUUUUGUCAGGGAAGAAACACCGGCUCUAACACAGUCCGGGAAUGACGGUACCUGAAGAAUAAGCACCGGCUAACUACGUGCCAGCCGCCGCCGUAA
RNAcentral lists this ribosomal RNA (501 nucleotides) under uncultured bacterium. RNAcentral describes it as "partial 16S ribosomal RNA". It matches the Rfam family "Bacterial small subunit ribosomal RNA", at positions 29 to 523 of the family's 1533-position model. The record is from RNAcentral.